GACGAACGCUGGCGGCGUGCUUAACACAUGCAAGUCGAACGGAAAGGCCCAGCUUGCUGGGUGCUCGAGUGGCGAACGGGUGAGUAACACGUGGGUGAUCUGCCCCUAACUUCGGGAUAAGCUUGGGAAACUGGGUCUAAUACCGGAUAGAACAAUCGUUUAUGGUCGGUUGUGGAAAGUUUUUUCGGUUAGGGAUGAGCCCGCGGCCUAUCAGCUUGUUGGUGGGGUAAUGGCCUACCAAGGCGUCGACGGGUAGCCGGCCUGAGAGGGUGGACGGCCACAUGGGGACUGAGAUACGGCCCAGACUCCUACGGGAGGCAGCAGGGGGGAAUAUUGCACAAUGGGCGCAAGCCUGAUGCAGCGACGCCGCGUGGGGGAUGACGGCCUUCGGGUGGUAAACCUCUUUCGCCAGGGACGAAGCUUUGGUGACGGUACCUGUAUAAGAAGCACCGGCUAACUACGUG
Molecule: ribosomal RNA, 464 nt
Filed under: uncultured bacterium
Lineage: Bacteria
Description: partial 16S ribosomal RNA
Rfam family: Bacterial small subunit ribosomal RNA
Source: RNAcentral